This 492-nucleotide ribosomal RNA is filed under the name uncultured bacterium. RNAcentral's name for it is "bacterial SSU rRNA". It matches the Rfam family "Bacterial small subunit ribosomal RNA", at positions 28 to 525 of the family's 1533-position model. The record is from RNAcentral.
GACGAACGCUGGCGGCGUGCCUAAUACAUGCAAGUAGAACGCUGAAGAGAGGAGCUUGCUCUUCUUGGAUGAGUUGCGAACGGGUGAGUAACGCGUAGGUAACCUGCCUUGUAGCGGGGGAUAACUAUUGGAAACGAUAGCUAAUACCGCAUAACAAUGGAUGACACGUGUCAUUUAUUUGAAAGGGGCAAUUGUUCCACUACAAGAUGGACCUGCGUUGUAUUAGCUAGUAGGUGAGGUAAUGGCUCACCUAGGCGACGAUACAUAGCCGACCUGAGAGGGUGAUCGGCCACACUGGGACUGAGACACGGGCCCAGACUCCUACGGGAGGCAGCAGUAGGGAAUCUUCGGGCAAUGGGGGCAACCCUGACCGAGCAACGCCGCGUGGGUGAUGAAGGCCCUAGGGUUGUAAAGCCCUUUCGGGCGGGGAAGAUAAUGACGGUACCCGCAGAAGAAGCCUCGGCUAACUACGUGCUAGCCGCCCCCGUAAAU